AAUCAGGGACUGGUUUUUGAGAAAAGUAAAAUUUAUCAUUGAAAAAACUGAGUAUUAUGGACAUUUCAUGGAACUGCUGCAUAACAUCCAUAUUUAUCUUUGGCACCUGUGACAUUUGAAGGCAGACUUAAUAAAGCAGACAUGAACAACCUAUCAUCACUGAUAUCCUGCAAACACAGAGUCAAACAGUCAUUCACUGCAAAACACUUCGGAACUCCAUCCCUUUCAAACAGCAAAGUGUUUCCACUGACUGCAUCCACUUUGGUUUGAAUCCUAUGAAGGAGUCUUAUGUUGCAGGCUGCUCGUCAUAAUGCUUAGUAGAACAGGCCAAAGCUUUAAGGACAGAGACUGGCAGCAAUUUGACACACUUAGAAUAAUUGAGUUCACUGGUUUGGGGGCAAAAUUAAGGGGAAAUCAGUGUAGGAUACCAGUAAAAUAGUAUUCCUUGUUUCCUUGUAAUACUUGGUGACAAGCUUCAACCAUCAGGACAAUCCUGCCUGAUAGAAGUGGGCUGCUACAAUUAAUCACACAUGCUGAACUAUGUGUGAAUCUGGAUGUGACUGUCAGGUUGUUAGAACAGAUCAGGACAGGUCAUGUUCUGAAACAUGCCUGAAACCAUGAAAUUUGUUUGUUAAUAAGGUAGUUCCCACAAAAUUCCCUGCUGCCCCUGCAGAGGAAGAGGUUGGUUUUGCCCUGAUAAUAUGACUGCAGUUUGGCCACAGAACUGUCCUCUUCUGUGAUGCUAAUAUUUUCACACUGACAGUUUUGCUCACAACUUAAAUUUGUUCCAGGAGAACAAGUCAGCACAAGUUUUUCUAAAAAGCUGGUGACAAUCCUUAAAUUCAUCAUUACAAUUACAGCGCUGGAGAAAGUGCAAUUUGUACAACCGUACAAGGCUUCUCUGAGGGAUUUUCCCAACACUACAUUCUGAUGUCACUUUUUUUUUCACCUCUACAGUGAAGUUUAGGUUUUGCUGACAGUCGUGCAAUAGCCUUGAAAACAAAAAACUAAAUCAGGUAACAUCUGGAAGUUUCUUUUGGCUGUUUCCAAAUGUGAAAUUGGCAGGAGCUUUUGUUAGAUUUAUUUAAAGUUUGAUUUGAUUGUAGACUAACUGCAAAUACUCUAAUAGAUGCUAUAGAGUAUUUUGGUAAUCUCUGUACAAAUGAAUCU
Stegastes partitus (bicolor damselfish) is the source of this 1170-nucleotide long non-coding RNA. RefSeq lists it as uncharacterized. The record is from RefSeq and is a predicted model, not a curated record. NCBI's taxonomy places the organism in Eukaryota, Metazoa, Chordata, Actinopteri, Pomacentridae. The transcript is spliced from 2 exons.